GUAGGUGGCAAGCGUUGUCCGGAAUUAUUGGGCGUAAAGCGCGCGCAGGCGGUUCUUUAAGUCUGAUGUGAAAGCCCACGGCUCAACCGUGGAGGGCCAUUGGAAACUGGAGAACUUGAGUACAGAAGAGGAAAGCGGAAUUCCACGUGUAGCGGUGAAAUGCGUAGAGAUGUGGAGGAACACCAGUGGCGAAGGCGGCUUUCUGGUCUGUAACUGACGCUGAGGCGCGAAAGCGUGGGGAGCAAACAGGGAUUAGAUACCCUGGUAGUCCACGCCGUAAACGAUGAGUGCUAAGUGUUAGGGGGUUUCCCGCCCCUUAGUGCUGCAGCUAACGCAUUAAGCACUCCGCCUGGGGAGUACGGCCGCAAGGCUG
RNAcentral lists this ribosomal RNA (373 nucleotides) under uncultured organism. RNAcentral's name for it is "partial 16S ribosomal RNA". It matches the Rfam family "Bacterial small subunit ribosomal RNA", at positions 527 to 896 of the family's 1533-position model. The record is from RNAcentral.